GACGAACGCUGGCGGCAUGCCUUACACAUGCAAGUCGAACGGUAACGCGGGGCAACCUGGCGACGAGUGGCGAACGGGUGAGUAAUGCAUCGGAACGUGCCCAGUAGUGGGGGAUAGCCCGGCGAAAGCCGGAUUAAUACCGCAUACGACCUACGGGUGAAAGGGGGGGAUCGCAAGACCUCUCGCUAUUGGAGCGGCCGAUGUCAGAUUAGGUAGUUGGUGGGGUAAAGGCCUACCAAGCCUACGAUCUGUAGCUGGUCUGAGAGGACGACCAGCCACACUGGGACUGAGACACGGCCCAGACUCCUACGGGAGGCAGCAGUGGGGAAUUUUGGACAAUGGGCGCAAGCCUGAUCCAGCCAUGCCGCGUGCGGGAAGAAGGCCUUCGGGUUGUAAACCGCUUUUGUCAGGGAAGAAACGCUCUGGAAUAAUACUCUGGGGUAAUGACGGUACCUGAAGAAUAAGCACCGGCUAACUACGUGCCAGCAGCCGCCGUAA
Molecule: ribosomal RNA, 498 nt
Filed under: uncultured bacterium
Lineage: Bacteria
Description: partial 16S ribosomal RNA
Rfam family: Bacterial small subunit ribosomal RNA
Source: RNAcentral